UUGCUCUUCAACGAGGAAUGCCUAGUAAGCGCAUGUCAUCAGCAUGCGUUGAUUACGUCCCUGCCCUUUGUACACACCGCCCGUCGCUACUACCGAUUGAAUGGCUCAGUGAGGCCUUCGGACUGGCCCCAGGAGGUCGGCAACGACCACCCNAGGGCCGGAAAGUUGGUCAAACUUGGUCAUUUAGAGGAAGUAAAAGUCGUAACAAGGUUCCCGUAGGUGAACCUGCGGAAGGAUCAUUACCGAGUAUUGGGUCUUAGUGCCCGCACUCCAACCCUUUGUGUACCUAAAAUUGUUGCUUUGGCGGGCCCGCGGUGUAAUGCCGCUGCUGGCUCACGCUGGUUAGUGCCCGCCAGAGAACCGUUAAACUCUUGUUUAUUCAGUGUCGUCUGAGCAAAAUUUAAUAAUCAAAACUUUCAACAACGGAUCUCUUGGUUCUGGCAUCGAUGAAGAACGCAGCGAAAUGCGAUAAGUAAUGUGAAUUGCAGAAUUCAGUGAAUCAUCGAAUCUUUGAACGCACAUUGCGCCCCCUGGUAUUCCAUGGGGCAUGCCUGUUCGAGCGUCAUUUGUACCUUCAAGCUCUGCUUGGUGUUGGGUGUUUGUCUCGCCUCUGCGUGUAGACUCGCCUUAAAACAAUUGGCAGCCGGCGUAUUGAUUUCGGAGCGCAGUACAUCUCGCGCUUUGCACUCAUAACGACGACGUCCAAAAGUACAUUUUUACACUCUUGACCUCGGAUCAGGUAGGGAUACCCGCUGAACUUAAGCAUAUCAAUAAGCGGAGGA
This 782-nucleotide ribosomal RNA is filed under the name uncultured fungus. RNAcentral describes it as "eukaryotic LSU rRNA". The stretch from base 1 to 242 matches the Rfam family "Eukaryotic small subunit ribosomal RNA", at positions 1593 to 1831 of the family's 1831-position model. The record is from RNAcentral. Lineage: Eukaryota; Fungi.